GACGAACGCUGGCGGCAGGUCUUAGGCAUGCAAGUCGAACGGGUGUAGUAAUACACCAGUGGCGAACGAGUGAGUAACGCGUGGGAAUCUGCCCGUCUCUGGGGAAUAACGUUUGGAAACGAACGCUAAUACCGCAUACGCCCGCAAGGGGAAAGAUUUAUCGGAGAUGGAUGAGCCCGCGUUGGAUUAGUUAGUUGGUGGGGUAACGGCCUACCAAGGCGAUGAUCCAUAGCUGGUCUGAGAGGUCGAUCAGCCACGCUGGAACUGAGAUACGGUCCAGACUCAUACGGGAGGCAGCAGCUAAGAAUAUUGGGCAAUGGAGGAAACUCUGACCCAGCCAUGCCGCGUGAAUGAAGAAGGCCUUCGGGUUGUAAAGUUCUUUUAGUCGUGACGAUGAUGACGGUAGCGACAGAAAAAGCACCGGCUAACUUCGUGCCAGCCGCCGCAGUAA
RNAcentral lists this ribosomal RNA (451 nucleotides) under uncultured bacterium. Its description in RNAcentral is "partial 16S ribosomal RNA". It matches the Rfam family "Bacterial small subunit ribosomal RNA", at positions 28 to 523 of the family's 1533-position model. The record is from RNAcentral.